AUAGUGAUGGCCAACAGUCUGGCCUGACAGUCCAAACACAGGUACAUCUGUCCAGGAACUCAAGGCCAUGAAAUGCCAUACAAGGCUAACUUUUUGUAUUCCCCAUCUCCAAUGAUGGCGUUCCUGGUCAGGUCUAGGGUUCUAUGAAGACAGCAUUUUGGGUCUCCCACAGCACUGUGUCCUUCUGUUGCCUGGUUUCCUGACCUUUCUAGAAGAGAGCUUGAACACCUCACCUUGAAAAUCCAGUCUGACAAACUACAGAUUCUUGGAUACAAAAUUGAAUUGAUUUGAAUCUGAAUUGACGUCUGUCGGUAAGUGUUGUUUUUAGUUUACCUUAAAUCCCCUUGUAUCUGAAGUAAAUCCAUAUGUUCAUCAAAAUUAGCAAUCAGCACACUGGUUUUGACGAGAACCUAAAGCUGAAUCGGCUGUGCCUUUGGUAAACAUAGACCGGAAAGAUUUAAGUGCCCUUGGCAAGACGUAUAGAAUCAGAAACCAAUAUA
This is a long non-coding RNA of Alosa alosa (allis shad), 500 nucleotides long. RefSeq lists it as uncharacterized. The record is from RefSeq and is a predicted model, not a curated record. Lineage: Eukaryota; Metazoa; Chordata; Actinopteri; Clupeiformes; Clupeidae. The transcript has 3 exons.